This 276-nucleotide ribosomal RNA is filed under the name Alexandrium minutum. RNAcentral describes it as "partial Bacterial small subunit ribosomal RNA". It matches the Rfam family "Bacterial small subunit ribosomal RNA", at positions 790 to 1101 of the family's 1533-position model. The record is from RNAcentral. Lineage: Eukaryota; Dinophyceae; Gonyaulacales; Pyrocystaceae.
GUAGUUCAUGCAGUAAACGAUGAAUACUAUAAAAAGAAUGUAAAGAAGCGAAAGCGAAAGUAUUCCGCCAGGAGAGUAUAGCUUCAAAGUUGAAAUCCAAGACAAUAGACGGUUACAGUUGUAGGCAGUGGAUUGUGUUUUUUAAUUCGAUAAUCCCCGAAAAUCUUACCAUUAUUUGAAUCAAAUUAAGAAAAAAGAAAUUAAGAAUGACAAAUGUUACAUCGUUGUUUAAAGUCUGUGCUUUAAGGUUAUGAUUAACUUCAUAAACAGACGAAA